GGAGGGAUGGCCGAGUCCGGUUGAUGGCGCUAGUCUUGAAAACUAGUAUACCCUAACGGGUAUCGGGGGUUCGAAUCCCUCUCCCUCCG
RNAcentral lists this transfer RNA (89 nucleotides) under Candidatus Margulisiibacteriota bacterium. Its description in RNAcentral is "tRNA-Ser". It matches the Rfam family "tRNA". From Rfam's summary of the family: Transfer RNA (tRNA) molecules are approximately 80 nucleotides in length. Their secondary structure includes four short double-helical elements and three loops (D, anti-codon, and T loops). Further hydrogen bonds mediate the characteristic L-shaped molecular structure. tRNAs have two regions of fundamental functional importance: the anti-codon, which is responsible for specific mRNA codon recognition, and the 3' end, to which the tRNAs corresponding amino acid is attached (by aminoacyl-tRNA synthetases). tRNAs cope with the degeneracy of the genetic code in two manners: having more than one tRNA (with a specific anti-codon) for a particular amino acid; and 'wobble' base-pairing, i.e. permitting non-standard base-pairing at the 3rd anti-codon position. Lineage: Bacteria; Bacillati; Candidatus Margulisiibacteriota. The record is from RNAcentral.